Molecule: ribosomal RNA, 305 nt
Filed under: uncultured bacterium
Lineage: Bacteria
Description: bacterial SSU rRNA
Rfam family: Bacterial small subunit ribosomal RNA
Source: RNAcentral
UGUUGCCUACGGGACGCAGCAGUGGGGAAUAUUGCACAAUGGGGGGAACCCUGAUGCAGCGACGCCGCGUGAGUGAAGAAGUAUUUCGGUAUGUAAAGCUCUAUCAGCAGGGAAGAUAAUGACGGUACCUGACUAAGAAGCCCCGGCUAACUACGUGCCAGCAGCCGCGGUAAUACGUAGGGGGCAAGCGUUAUCCGGAUUUACUGGGUGUAAAGGGGGCGCAGACGGCAGCGCAAGCCAGGAGUGAAAGCCCGGGGCCCAACCCCGGGACUGCUCUUGGAACUGCGCGGCUGGAGUGCAGGCGG